AUAAAUAAUAUUCCUUUUGAACUUUUUGCCUUUUUUAAAAAAUAAAACUUUAAAUUUUAGAAUAGUUUUAGGUUUAUACAAAAGUUGCAAAGAUAGUAGAGGGUUUCCAUAUAUCCUGUACUUGGUUGCCCCUGUUAUUAACGUCUUAGAUUAGUGUGGGAUAUUUGUUACAACUAAUGGACCAGUACUGAUACACUGUUACUAACUCAAGUCCAUACUUUAUUCAAAUUUCCUUUUACCUGAUGUCCUCCUUCUGCCUCAUGAUCCUAUACCACAUGAUAUUUAGUCAUCAUGUUUUCCUCUGGAUUGUCGGUUUCUCAGACGUUCCUUGUUUUUGAUGGCCUUGACAGUUUGGGGGAGUACUGAUUAGGUAUUUUGUAGAAAGCCCUCAUUAUGGGUUUUUCUCAUGGUUAGCCUAGGUUUUUGCAUUUUGGGGAGGAAGACCACAGAGGUGAAGUACAAUUCUCAUCUUCUUAUCAAGAGUGCAUGCUGUCCUCGUGACUUACCACUGAUGAUGUCAACCUUGGUCCCCUGGUUGAGGCAGUGCUUGUCAGGUUUCUCCACAUCCUCCCCCAUCCCUCAACCCCCCAAUACUGUACUUUCUGGAAGCAAGUCACUGUAAACAGCCACACUUAGGGGGUGGGGAGUUAUGUUCUACCUUCUUGAAGGGACAAUAUCUACAUUAAUUAUUUGGAAUUUUUCUGCACAGGAGAUUUGUUCAGUUAUUUUUUCAGACAUUUAUUACUAUGAGUAUAGAUUCAUUGAUAUUUAUUUUAUACUUAUUGGGUUAUAAUUUGAUAUUUAUUAGGUUAUAAUUCAAUGUCACCUUAUUUAUUUUGUUACUCAACUCUGCUUUUUAUUUUUUUAAGUUAUAAAUACAUAUAUAUCUUAAAAGUUUAAACAGUAUAAAGGGUAUGCUGUGAAAAAUGAAUCUGUCUCCUUCAUAAUCUCCAAUCUGACCUUCCUUUCUCCGGAGGCAAUCACUAUUGCUAUAUAUUUUUUUGUGCCGCCAGAUGUAUUCUGUGCAUGUUUAAUAAAUACUACCUGUGUUUAAUAUAGCCAUCACUCAGUAUUCUCAAGGAUUGCUUCCAGAGCCCUCUGCAGAUAGCAAAAUCUGUGGAUGCCCAAGUCCUGCAGUUGGCCAUGUGGAAUCUGCUGAUAUGAAAAGUUGGCAUUCCAUAUCCAAGGGUUCUGCAUCCUGAGAAUACUGUAUUUUCAGUUCGAGGUUGGUUGAAUCCAAGGAUGCGGAACCUUUGGCCACAGAGGGCCGACUGUAGUGCCUUUUCAGUUUUAACUUGGAUAAAAUGAUUAGGCACAACAUCAACCUGGUACUAGAGGAGGACGGAUUCACAAGAAUUGAAAAUUGAUGGGGAAGAAAAGGGGAAACGAACAUUUUUGAGUGCCUACUGUGGGCCAGGUGCCCAGCUAGGUGUUUUACAAUUCUUUAAUCCUCUCAGCACCUUUUUAAGGAGUGUAUUGUUAAUGAAUUGAACAUUCAAAUAGAAGAAUUCCCCAUUAAAACACCAGUCCACCGCUGUUAACCUUUA
Molecule: non-coding RNA, 1547 nt
Organism: Macaca mulatta (Rhesus monkey)
Lineage: Eukaryota; Metazoa; Chordata; Mammalia; Primates; Cercopithecidae
Source: RefSeq, a predicted model, not a curated record